Molecule: long non-coding RNA, 351 nt
Organism: Acomys russatus (golden spiny mouse)
Lineage: Eukaryota; Metazoa; Chordata; Mammalia; Rodentia; Muridae
Exons: 3
Source: RefSeq, a predicted model, not a curated record
UUCAGUGUAUUUCUUCCACUUAGAAAGCUGUGUUUGCUUGGCCUAUGAAUUUGGAGAGAGCAAAAGGACCUGUGAACAAAGAGACUAAGCCACUGGCAUUCCGCGAGGCAGAGCAAGCUAUAAGGAAAAUGGAGAAUUACAAGAGAUAAAAGAUGGUAUUGGAAGUCAAAGUAGAAGCCGGACCACGCAUAAGUGUCUCAUAGGCAGUGCAAUACAGGGCAUAUUUGAGAAAUAUGUCCUUCAAAUAGAAGAUGAUCCUAUAAAUUAAAAGUGUUGACUGCUCUGCAGUAAUCAGCUAAGAGAUGGUCUGAAAUGGCAUGCCCCGAACUAAGGGCAUUCCUGAGACUGGAG